RNAcentral lists this ribosomal RNA (403 nucleotides) under uncultured bacterium. Its description in RNAcentral is "bacterial SSU rRNA". It matches the Rfam family "Bacterial small subunit ribosomal RNA", at positions 355 to 775 of the family's 1533-position model. The record is from RNAcentral.
UGGGGAAUAUUGCACAAUGGGCGAAAGCCUGAUGCAGCGACGCCGCGUGAAGGAUGAAGUAUUUCGGUAUGUAAACUUCUAUCAGCAGGGAAGAAAAUGACGGUACCUGACUAAGAAGCCCCGGCUAACUACGUGCCAGCAGCCGCGGUAAUACGUAGGGGGCAAGCGUUAUCCGGAUUUACUGGGUGUAAAGGGAGCGUAGACGGCAUGGCAAGUCUGAAGUGAAAGCCCGGGGCUCAACCCCGGGACUGCUUUGGAAACUGUCAGGCUAGAGUGCUGGAGAGGUAAGUGGAAUUCCUAGUGUAGCGGUGAAAUGCGUAGAUAUUAGGAGGAACACCAGUGGCGAAGGCGGCUUACUGGACAGUAACUGACGUUGAGGCUCGAAAGCGUGGGGAGCAAACAG